UACGUAGGGUCCGAGCGUUGUCCGGAAUUACUGGGCGUAAAGAGCUCGUAGGUGGUUUGUCGCGUUGUCCGUGAAAUCUCACAGCUCAACUGUGGGCGUGCGGGCGAUACGGGCAGACUGGAGUACUGCAGGGGAGACUGGAAUUCCUGGUGUAGCGGUGGAAUGCGCAGAUAUCAGGAGGAACACCGGUGGCGAAGGCGGGUCUCUGGGCAGUAACUGACGCUGAGGAGCGAAAGCGUGGGGAGCGAACAGG
Molecule: ribosomal RNA, 253 nt
Filed under: uncultured bacterium
Lineage: Bacteria
Description: partial 16S ribosomal RNA
Rfam family: Bacterial small subunit ribosomal RNA
Source: RNAcentral